GACGAACGCUGGCGGCGUGCCUAAUACAUGCAAGUCGAGCGCUGAAGGUUGGUUCUUGUACCGACUGGAUGUGCAGCGCACGGGUGUGUCACGCGUGUGGAAUCUGCCUUUGUGUGGGGGACCACAUUUGGACACGAAUGCUUAUCCCGCAUAAACACCUUAAACACAAGUUUUAAUGUUGAAAGAUGCCAUUUCAUCACUCAAACAUGACCCCGCGUCGUAUUAGGUAGUUGGUGAGGUACCGGCUCACCAAGGCGAUGAUACGGAGCCGACCUGAGCGGGUGGGCGGCCGCAUUGGGACGGUGACACGGCACAUACGGAUACGGGAAGCAGCAGUAGGGAAUCUGCGGGAAGGGACGAAAGUCUGACCGAGCAAGGCCGCGGGAGUGAAGAAGGAUUUCGGGUCGGAAAACUCGGUUGGUAGGGUAGAAAGUGGGUGAGAGUGGGAAGCAGAGCAAGUGACGGUAACUGCCAAGAAAGGAACGGCUAACUACGUG
RNAcentral lists this ribosomal RNA (497 nucleotides) under uncultured bacterium. Its description in RNAcentral is "partial 16S ribosomal RNA". It matches the Rfam family "Bacterial small subunit ribosomal RNA", at positions 28 to 507 of the family's 1533-position model. The record is from RNAcentral.